RNAcentral lists this ribosomal RNA (484 nucleotides) under uncultured bacterium. RNAcentral describes it as "partial 16S ribosomal RNA". It matches the Rfam family "Bacterial small subunit ribosomal RNA", at positions 29 to 507 of the family's 1533-position model. The record is from RNAcentral.
AUUGAACGCUGGCGGCAUGCUUUACACAUGCAAGUCGAACGGCAGCGCGGACUUCGGCCUGGCGGCGAGUGGCGAACGGGUGAGUAAUACAUCGGAACAUGCCCAGUAGUGGGGGAUAGCUCGGCGAAAGCCGGAUUAAUACCGCAUACGACCUGAGGGUGAAAGCGGGGGAUCUUCGGACCUCGCGCUAUUGGAGCGGCCGAUGGCAGAUUAGCUAGUUGGUGGGGUAAAGGCCUACCAAGGCGACGAUCUGUAGCUGGUCUGAGAGGACGACCAGCCACACUGGGACUGAGACACGGCCCAGACUCCUACGGGAGGCAGCAGUGGGGAAUUUUGGACAAUGGGCGAAAGCCUGAUCCAGCAAUGCCGCGUGUGUGAUGAAGGCCUUCGGGUUGUAAAGCACUUUUGGCGGGAACGAAAAGGACUGUGCCAAUACCACGGUUCGAUGACGGUACCCGCAGAAUAAGCACCGGCUAACUACGUG